This is a long non-coding RNA of Melospiza melodia melodia, 3816 nucleotides long. RefSeq lists it as uncharacterized. The transcript has 5 exons. NCBI's taxonomy places the organism in Eukaryota, Metazoa, Chordata, Aves, Passeriformes, Passerellidae. The record is from RefSeq and is a predicted model, not a curated record.
UUGUUUUUUUUUUUUUUUUUUUUUUACUUGAAACAAAGUCUCAGCACAGCAGCCCGAUGCACGGCGACGCCAGGCAGUCGACGGUCUGAGAGAAGGACUAAGGCGCUAGUGCGGAUUUGUUGGCUAUCCAUAGCUGUCUGAAGAUACCUGGUAUCAGAACUAACAGUUCAAAUCAACUCUGAGAAUUAAAUGGCAGCAGAACUCUUUACCUAGUGCUACAGAGGACUGGAAGACAAGAGAAUGACGAAAAUUAAAUCUCUUCCAAGAAAAUGGUGAGAUUAGGCUUUCUGUAUAUUUAUGAAUCCUGAAAAAAUGCUUGGAUGAAAUCAGCAUCACCAAUUCACUCCUGUUGUUCUCCCUCAUACUGUGAGUCUUUCCAAAUCAGUAGCAAAAAUAGGAAUGAUUGAAACAGUGAAGCUGUGAACAUUACAAGAUGCACACUCCAACAAACAUAAAAUGCGUGAGUGCCUGGUGAGCAUUAGGAAAUCUGUCACUAUGAACAAUUGAAGAUGACAAGUUUAAAUAGACCGAGGAAUUCCAGUGUUAACUUACUCUGAAACAAAACAUUUUCAAAAUUUUCAUGAUCACCUUUUUUUUAAACUGAAGAUUAGCUGCAUGAAAAUAAGUUCAUUUAAAUUCCUUUUACAUAAAUGAAAAAAAUAAAAGAUUCUGCGAAAACUAUUAAAAAUGGACAGAAGAGCAUUUGUGCACUGCUCAUUUUCCCUUAUUUUUGCUAGAACUUUUAAGAACACCUUUCCAUACUUGCAGUCUGGAUGACUAAUCCAAUGUUACAGCCUCUCAUGGGGUGCUGACGGUACCUUGGCUAAAAAGUCCUCAGUUUUCUGUUGUUUUCUUGAAAAGAAGAGAAUGCUCUAUGUUUGAACUGUCUACUGUUUUCAUAAAUGACUUGUGAGAGUCUUAUGUGAUUCUGUACUGGAAGAGUUCAAGUCCUGCAGAGACGCCCCAUCAGGCAGCUUCAGGAGCACCUACCAUGCUGGCUCUCACAGCAAAGUGGCAAGCACGGGGAGCGACCAUUAAAAGCAUUACAAGCAGUUUGCCUCCAGAGUAUUUUGUUCUGUGAGUUGUUUUAGCUGGUUAAAUUCUACAGAGAAGAAGAUGGGAAAUGAUAAUGAGGGCUAAGGAGAAUGGGACUGUCUUGAGAUAGUUAAUACCCCUCUCAGUAGGCAGAUAGAUUAUCUGAAAGGAGGAACAAAAAUUGCAUUUUUUGAAAGCAACUCUAAGCUUCAGGGAGCCAGGGAAAUUGUUCUCUGUUGUAUUUGUGGGCAUAGUCUCAUCUGUGAGAUGUUUAAAUAUGAGUACCCUUUUAGCACAUAACUUCUGCUCAUUUAGCUAUUUAAAUACUUUUGUUGAUUUUAGUUUUAAACUUUAAUCUAAAUGCAGGAAAAGCAGAAUACCAAGGAAAUCUUUGUAGUGUCUGUGGACAUAAUAAGGGCAAAGUGUCAGAAAGUAGGUUUCUGUCUUUUGUACAGUGAGUAUAUUCUAGUAUAAAGACUUUGUAAAUGACCUGUACACUUUCAUAUUUCAACUUUCUUACUUAUACUGCAUGUUAGAUGGAAGUGCUAACUUUAAAAUUAGUCAUCCUAGUGUGCUAAGCACUGCAAAAAGAUGGAUGUUUUGAACAUAACAGGCUUUACAUUAAACUCCAGCACAGAUUAGAUGAAUUGUGGAAUUAUGCCUAAUACUCUUAAGGGGUUUUAGUGAUCAAACACACAGUAGAUUCAUGCUGACAUUAGGUCUAGCACGUCUAAAAAACACAUAACAGACAUCCAGCAUCCUACAGACCUGCAGUCCUACUGGUUUAUGUUUAAAUGUUUAUGGUGUAAAAAUGUUGACUGAAAAAGCCCAUUUUUUUUUUUUUAUAGUCAACAGUAACUCCAGUGGUGUUUCUGGGCGGUCCUGUCCCUGUGUAUUUCACGGACUGCAUGAUUGCUGUAUGUGAGCAAGCAUACAUACAGCAAGCAAUACUACUGCAAUACUGUGCAAUCUACUGCAAUACUGUGUGGCCCUCUUACACUCCUUACUAUGUAGGGUGGAACAAACUGAAAAAACAAAUUUGAUCUGUGUGGCAAAGUUUUGGUAGCUGGGGGCUGUGUGAGCAGCCUUUGUGGGGAGACAUCAGGGACUGCCCUUACAUCAGAGAGAGAUCCAGCUGGCUCCAAGACAGACCCACCACUAAGUAAAGCUGAACCCAUCAGAAACAGCAGGAGCAUCUCUGUGGUAGCAUAUUUAAGAAAGAGAAAAAUGCAUCCAUCAGAAGCUGGAAUAGAGGAUUGAGAAUAUGAAAGAGAAACAACUCUGUAGGCCCCAAGGUCAGUGAAGAAAGAGGGGGAGGAGUUAAUCCAGGCAUACAACUGGAGCUUCUCCUCUCCUACAGCCUGCAGAGAGAGUGUAGUGACCGGUUUUUCCUUGCAUCCGAUGGAUAUCCUCUGUGGAGCAAACAGCCACCUGCUGCCUGUAGACAACCCCACAUCAGGUGAAUAGCCCUUGAAAGCAGCUGUGAGUCAUGAAGGGCCUAUGCUUGACCUCCUGCCAGGAACUGCAGACUGUGGAGCGGACACCAGACAGGAGAAAGUCUGCUGUCAGACUGUGACCCUGUGCCCAAGGACAGCACUCCACUGCAGGACCCAGGCCGGACCAGUUAGCCUGGGGGAAGGACUAAUGUUGGAGAAGUUCAUGAAGAACUGUCUCCAAUGGGAAAUUCCUUGUGAUGGAGCAAAGGAAGAGUGUGAGGAGGAAGGAACAGCAAAGAUGGAGUGUUAUGAACCAACUGCAAUUGACCCUUUUCCCCAUCCCACUGCACCACUUGAGGUGCAGGAGUUAAAAGAGAUGAGAGUGAAGCUGAGCCUAGGAAGAAGGGAAAGGUGGGGGAAAUAUGGGGCUUUUUAAAAAAUUUUGUUCUUAUUUCUUAUUAUUUUAUUCUGCCUGGUAAUAACUCAAAUUUAUUUUCCCAAGUCCAGUCUGUUUUCCCUGUGACAAUUGGUAAAUGAUCUCUGUUAUCUCUGUCCAUGUGUUCUUCAUUGUAUCUCUGUCCUGUUAAGGAGCAAAUGUGAUAGAGUGGCUUGGUGGGUGCCUGACAACUGGCCAAGGUCAACCACCACAAAAUAAUAAAGAUUAUUUUUUCUGAAGCUGAGACUGUGGAAAAUAGGAAGGAUACAGAAAAGUAACUCAUGAGGGAUGAGAACAAAGUCCCCAAAACACUGAGCUUCAUCUAUGCACUAGGCUAUGCAAUGUAAUUAGAAACGUGAUUAAUCAUGGCUUAGUUACCAGUCUGAAUCUGUCCUGAUGAAACAAGAUUUAAACUUGCAGAAAAAUGUCUGUUCAUACGAUAGGAUAGUUAAACUAGGAUGAAAAGAUAAGAGAGUCCAGUAGAACUUGAUGGCAUAGACGAAUUUCAGACUAAUGUAAAAACAGCUCCUAAACAGUUGAAGAUAUGCAAGGCUUCUUUUUUUAAAAUAAAUUUCAUAAUAAAUUGUUUAAUCAAAAAUGACUGUGUUUGUUUCUACUUUUUUUUUCCUUUUUAAGCUUCUCGUAUUACUUCUGCAUUCACCUGCGUGACUCCUGAAUCACUCGGUCUAUGUGAGCCGUGGUAGACAUGACUGUAGCAUUUGAAUAUUGAAAUUGAAACAUCUGAAUUAAACUUCCCCUUGCAGAAACACUUGUCAGUUACUGAAGUGAUCUGUUUCCCCUGUGAACUGAUGCAUAAGGGAUUUUAAACAUGUGCCACUGAAGUGCAUUUUAAAGGCUGUUUUUUAAAAAACCUUUUGUACAAUGCUGAAAUCUAUUUAACUUUCUCUU